RNAcentral lists this unclassified non-coding RNA (383 nucleotides) under uncultured Verrucomicrobiae bacterium. RNAcentral describes it as "contains 16S-23S intergenic spacer region". Lineage: Bacteria; Pseudomonadati; Verrucomicrobiota; Verrucomicrobiia. The record is from RNAcentral.
UCCUCGUUUAAGCGAGGCAGUCUGUCCAGAGUGCUUCGAACUCUCGUUCAAGUGGCAACAGGACACAGGGGUUGCGCUCGUUGCGGGACUUAGCCCAACAUCUCACGACACGAGCUGACGACAGCCAUGCAGCACCUGUGCAUGCUGGUAUUGCUACCUCGUCGGGCUUUCACCCUUCUACUACAUGCAUGUCAAGGCCAGGUAAGGUUCUUCGCGUUGCAUCGAAUUAAGCCACAUACUCCACCGCUUGUGCAGGCCCCCGUCAAUUUCUUUGAGUUUCAAUCUUGCGAUCGUACUCCCCAGGUGGAUUACUUAACGCUUUCGCUUGGACGUGUACUGUGUAUCGCACACAUCGAGUAAUCAUAGUUUACGGCGUGGACUAC